GGGUUGAAGAUAACACCUCUCCUAUGCAUCCCUUGGGAAAGCUGAAAAACAUGAGUGAAAACUCUACCAUCAUUUUCCUCGAAUCUUCACAGAGGUCC
Molecule: small nucleolar RNA, 98 nt
Organism: Talpa occidentalis (Iberian mole)
Lineage: Eukaryota; Metazoa; Chordata; Mammalia; Eulipotyphla; Talpidae
Product: small nucleolar RNA SNORD116
Exons: 1
Source: RefSeq, a predicted model, not a curated record